Molecule: unclassified non-coding RNA, 329 nt
Filed under: soil metagenome
Description: partial contains 5.8S ribosomal RNA, internal transcribed spacer 2, and large subunit ribosomal RNA
Rfam family: 5.8S ribosomal RNA (bases 1-120)
Source: RNAcentral
GAUGAAGAACGCAGCGAAAUGCGAUAAGUAAUGUGAAUUGCAGAAUUCAGUGAAUCAUCGAAUCUUUGAACGCACAUUGCGCCCUCUGGUAUUCCGGGGGGCAUGCCUGUUCGAGCGUCAUUAUAACCACUCAAGCUCUCGCUUGGUAUUGGGGUUCGCGGUUCCGCGGCCCCUAAAAUCAGUGGCGGUGCCUGUCGGCUCUACGCGUAGUAAUACUCCUCGCGAUUGAGUCCGGUAGGUCUACUUGCCAGCAACCCCCAAUUUUUACAGGUUGACCUCGGAUCAGGUAGGGAUACCCGCUGAACUUAAGCAUAUCAAUAAGCGGAGGA